Molecule: non-coding RNA, 690 nt
Filed under: Prevotella sp. S7 MS 2
Lineage: Bacteria; Pseudomonadati; Bacteroidota; Bacteroidia; Bacteroidales; Prevotellaceae
Description: Bacterial large subunit ribosomal RNA
Rfam family: Bacterial large subunit ribosomal RNA
Source: Rfam by way of RNAcentral
UGUGGGGUGAUGGCGUGCCUUUUGAAGAAUGAGCCUGCGAGUCAGCGGCACGUCGCGAGGUUAACCCGUGUGGGGUAGCCGUAGCGAAAGCGAAUACUAACUAGUGUGUUUGUAGUGGCGUGUCCUGGACCCGAAGCGGGGUGAUCUACCCAUGGCCAGUGUGAAGCAGAGGUAAGACUCUGUGGAGGCGCGAACCCACUUAGGUUGAAAACUGAGGGGAUGAGUUGUGGGUAGGGGUGAAAGGCCAAUCAAACUCCGUGAUAGCUGGUUCUCCCCGAAAUGCAUUUAGGUGCAGCGUCGUGUGUUUCCUCCUGGAGGUAGAGCUACUGGUUGGUUUAGCGGGACUAUCAUCUUAGCGACAUCAGCCAAACUCCGAAUGCCGGUGAGGUGAGAGCACGGCAGUGAGACUGCGGGGGAUAAGCUUCGUAGUCGAGAGGGAAACAGCCCAGAUCGCCGGCUAAGGCCCCUAAGGGUAUGCUAAGUGGAAAAGGAUGUGGGAUCGCGAAGACAACCAGGAGGUUGGCUUAGAAGCAGCCAUCCUUGAAAGAGUGCGUAAUAGCUCACUGGUCGAGUGGUCCUGCGCCGACAAUGUAGUGGGGCUCAAGCAUACCGCCGAAGCCGCGGCAGUGACUUUGUGUUGCUGGGUAGGGGAGCGUCGUGUUCGGCUGUGAAGCUGCGGGGUGACCUGUG